GACGAACGCUGGCGGCGUGCUUAAUACAUGCAAGUCGAACGGAAAGGCCCUGCUUUUGUGGGGCGCUCGAGUGGCGAAGGGGUGAGUAACACGUGAGUAACCUGCCCUUGACUUUGGGAUAACUCUAGGAAACUGGGGCUAAUACCGGAUAGGAGCUCCUGCUGCACGGUGGGGGUUGGAAAGAUUCGGCGGUUGGGGAUGGACUCGCGGCUUAUCAGCUUGUUGGUGGGGUAGUGGCUUACCAAGGCUUUGACGGGUAGCCGGCCUGAGAGGGUGACCGGCCACAAUGGGCCUGAGAUACGGCCCAGACGCCUACGGGAGGCAGCAGUGGGGAGUAUUGCGCAGUGGGCGGAAGCCUGAUACAGCGGCGCCGCGUGCGGGAUGACGGCCUUCGGGUUAUAAACCGCUUUCGCAUGUGCCGAAGCGUGAGUGACGGUAAUGAGUAAGGAAGCACCGGCUAACUACGUG
RNAcentral lists this ribosomal RNA (468 nucleotides) under uncultured bacterium. Its description in RNAcentral is "partial 16S ribosomal RNA". It matches the Rfam family "Bacterial small subunit ribosomal RNA", at positions 28 to 507 of the family's 1533-position model. The record is from RNAcentral.